Electrophorus electricus (electric eel) is the source of this 209-nucleotide non-coding RNA. The record is from RefSeq and is a predicted model, not a curated record. Lineage: Eukaryota; Metazoa; Chordata; Actinopteri; Gymnotiformes; Gymnotidae.
CACUUAUGCUGAGGUAGAACUGAAACCAAAACAGAAAGCAAAGAAAAAAGAAGAAAAGACCAGUGUGGGGGCAGACACUGUGUACUCAGAGCUGAGGCAGGACUCACACAAAGGUUGUUGAGGAACAGCAGAGACUGCUGGGAAACAGAGUUCAUUCUCCUGUGUUACUCCCUCAAGAUUCUACAAGACCAGGAGUUUAAACCCUCUUA